Molecule: non-coding RNA, 73 nt
Organism: Steinernema glaseri
Lineage: Eukaryota; Metazoa; Nematoda; Chromadorea; Rhabditida; Steinernematidae
Source: Rfam
GCCCCGUUGGCCUAGAGGAUAAGGCGUCUGACUUCUAAUCAGAAGAUCGCCGGUUCGAUCCCGGCACGGGGCU